UCUCUCUCUUCUCCUCUUCUUCUUCUCUCUAUUAUAUCUCCCCAUCAAACAUACAAACCCUAAACGAAAUCUCUCUCUCUCUCUCUCGUUUUCUCCAUCCGAUUAUCUGAUCCUCGAGAAGGAAUCUGUUUAGAUCUGUUUCAACUGAUGAAUGCAAUUUGAUAGUAGUUGAAUUUGAUGGAUGAUGAUUGUACAGAUGGAUAAAAUGUCUGCUCCUUCCUCAAGGGAGCGUGCGCAACGUCUUUACGAAAAGAAUAUUGAGCUGGAGAAUAAGCGUCGGAGGUCAGCUCAGGCAAGAAUUCCUUCAGAUCCCAAUGCCUGGCAACAGAUGCGGGAGAACUAUGAAGCUAUAGUUCUCGAGGAUCAUGGUUUUUCUGAGCAGCACAAUAUAGAAUAUGCUCUUUGGCAGUUGCAUUAUAGGCGCAUUGAGGAACUAAGAGCUCACUUCAGUGUUGCUCUAGCUAAUACUGGCUCAAAUACAUCUCAGGGAGUGAAAGUUCCUGCUCGACCUGACUGUAUUACGAAAAUAAGGCUUCAGUUUAAAACAUUUCUUUCAGAAGCAACUGGAUUCUAUCAUGAUCUAAUCCUGAAAAUCAGAGCUAAAUAUGGGCUUCCUCUGGGGUACUUUGAGGAUUCAGAUAAUAGAGUUGUCUUGGAAAAAGAUGCGAAAAAAUCAGCUGACAUGAAGAAAGGUUUGAUCUCCUGUCACCGCUGUUUAAUAUACUUGGGUGACCUUGCAAGGUACAAGGGACUAUAUGGGGAGGGUGACUCAAAGCCACGCGAAUAUGCUGCUGCUUCAAGUUACUAUUUACAAGCUGCAUCCUUAUGGCCAUCAAGUGGGAACCCCCAUCAUCAGCUUGCUAUUUUGGCUUCCUACUCGGGAGAUGAGUUGGUGGCAGUGUAUCACUAUUUUAGGAGUCUGGCUGUUGAUAAUCCCUUUACAACAGCAAGAGAUAACUUGAUUGUUGCUUUUGAGAAGAAUCGACAGAGUUACACUCAACUGCUUGGUGAUGCUAAAGGAUCUAUGGCCAAGGAUUCAUCCAUGCGCUUGACCAGCAAGGGGAGAGGGAAAGGGGAAGCAAAACCUGCAGUUAAAGACACAAACGUGGAAGCCAAUGUUGUCAAUGAAAGGUCACCUAAUAUCCGUGAGAUAUAUAAAUCAUUUUGCAUUCGAUUUGUCCGCCUGAAUGGUAUUCUUUUCACACGCACCAGCCUGGAAACUUUUGAUGCAGUUCUCUCAUUGGUCAGUGGUGAAUUCUGUGAGCUGCUUUCUUCUGGGCCAGAAGAGCAGCUAAAUUUUGGUGCAGAUGCUGUUGAAAAUGCCCUUCUCAUUGUACGGCUUAUAUCUAUUCUUAUAUUCACAGUUCACAAUGUGAAAAGAGAGGCCGAGGGUCAGACAUAUGCAGAAAUUGUACAGCGUACUGUUCUACUACAGAAUGCACUUACUGCAGUUUUUGAGUUAAUGGGACACGUGUUAGAGAGGUUUGUGCAGCUGCGUGAUCCUUCUACAAGUUAUCUCUUACCUGGCAUUCUUGUUUUUGUUGAAUGGUUGGCCUGUUGCCCUGAUGUUGCAUCGGGCAGUGAUGCUGAUGAUAAACAGGCCACUGUUAGAUUGAAGUUUUGGAACCAUUGUAUAUUGUUCUUGAACAAGGUCUUGUCGUUUUGGUCAAUGUCUCUAGAUGAUAAUGAAGAUGAUACAUGCUUUUAUAACAUGAGCCAUUAUGAAGAAGAGGAAACUGGAAAUCGGCUUGCUUUAUGGGAGGAUUUUGAGUUGAGAGGAUUCCUGCCACUUCUUCCUGCACAAACCAUUUUGGACUUUUCAAGGAAGCACUCUUUCGGAAGUGAAGGCAGUAAGGAAAGGAUAGCUCGUGUUAAAAGGAUUCUAGCUGCUGGAAGGGCUUUAGCAAAUAUAGCUAGGAUUGAUCAAAAAACAGUAUUUUAUGAUUCAAGGAUGAAGAAAUUUGUUAUAGGUGUGGAGCCUCAAAUUUCAGAUGAUAGCAUUUUGAAUUUUGAUCCUGGCGUGCAAAAAACUAAUGAUGUGAUGCAAGAAAUUCAGCCUCAGAAAACCAUUAAUGUGGGAGUUUUGAAGCCUAAUGCACAGCCAUAUAUAGAAGGGGACGAGGAGGAUGAAGUAAUUGUUUUCAGGCCUGCAGCAACAGAGAAGCGAAAUGAAGGGCUUAGUCCAAAAUGGGUCCCCUAUGAUGGCAUGAAACAGAAUCAAGAUGUAUCUGCUGAUCUGAAAUUUUAUGGUGGUUCUGUUUCAUCUCCUCUUGAUCUGCUGCAGCAUUCUGCUUUUGAUGCAGGUUCUCAAAUAUCUGCAUCCUCUGGCAUUAAUGUUUCCCAGCAUCUACAACCUAUUCAACCGCCUGCCUCAAAGUGGUUAAUGGAAGAAGCUGCUUCGCUUGCAAAUAGCUUGAAGGCUAUUAGGUUCACAGAGAAUGGGCAUGUAACAGAGCAUGAGUUGCCAAAAGAUUUAGGCAUAGGCCAUCCUGCUGCACAUUCACUUCCCAUCCAACCUGCAAAUGUUAAUACUAGUAUUUUCUACAAUCAGGCAAAAGUGCCAGAAGCUGUGAUUCCAUCAAAGGUUGAUGUUAUCACUGAAAGUUUGUCUGUGAAGACAUCAGCAGCUUUGCCAGCAGGCUUGAGGAAAACUCCAGUCAGUCGACCUGUAAGGCACCUUGGGCCUCCUCCAGGCUUUAGUCAUGUUCCUCUUAAACAAGUAAAUGAAGCUGUUUCUGGCUCAGAUUUGAUGACUGAGAAUUCAUUGACAGAUGAUUAUAGUUGGUUGGAUGGUUAUCAGUUGCCAUCGUCAACAAGGGGGUCUGGGUUCAGUAAUGCCACUACUAUAACUUCUCAAGCAAUGCAUCAGUGUAUCAAUAGCAGUAAUGGCUUGACUGGGACACUUAGCUUCCCUUUUCCUGGAAAACAGGUGUCAUCAGGCCAAUUCCAGACUGAAAAACAGAAAGGCUGGCAGAAUUACCAUGCCUUUGAGCAUCUAAGAUUACAGCAAGAGCAGCUGCAGCAACAACUCUUGAAUGGAAAUCAGCAAUUUACUCCAAUGUCUGAGCAAUAUCAUGGAAAGUCCAUCUGGGGUGGUCGAUAUAUUGUGUGAGAUGAGUAUAAAAGCAUAGAUGGUUCUGAAAAUGACUUCGUUGAAUGUACUGCGUCCUCUUGCUACCAAAUAUGAACUCCAACUUUGAAUCCUUUGUCAAAUUUCAAAUUUUAAGUUUUUGUUGGAGCAUGGGUGGCUGUGGCUCCUUGACGGGGGCUUGCUACUGAACAAGUGAGUGUCUUUCUGCUUUAUUUAUCCCCCCAAUCCCUCUCAAUCCUCAGUACCAAAAGAAAAAAAGAAGAUUUUUUCCCCUUAGCUCAUAAAAAAUCCUCAUCUCUUGCUGUGGGGAAGGGAACAUUUUUUUCAGCGGACACUUGAUAAUUAAAAAGUUAAGGACCAGACUGCUACUUCCGCAUUUAGUCUCUUCAUGAGCACUUUAAAAAAGAUUCCUAUUGCAAAAUUUUGAAAAAGGAGAUUUCUAAUUGAAUAUGUUUAUAAUCUCCCUACUUUCAAUUUGAAUUACUAGAUGACUUUUUAUGCAAGUGUUUUUAAUUUAUGCCAAGCUAUAUUUUGAAAGAUUGCAAGAUCUUGGUUAGUUGGUUUGUAAGUUCCGAUUGCUUUGCCCUAAAUUGUGCCAUAAGGAUACAAGCUUUGCUUCCAAGCUUCAGUGAAAUGCACAUGAAGCUUUGAAUAGAAAAAAAUAGUCUUUAAAAAUAUCAAAGCUAAGAUUUAAUUUAGAAAGUGAGGACUUUAGAAGAUGAGGGACUUUGAUGUACAGUUUGCCAAAUGGCAAGGAGCAUGUAGUUCACUUCCUAAAACUGAGGAGCCAAGUUAUUUUGCUCAAUAUUUGGGCUGAUUUUUUUAACUCACCUGAAUUAAUUUUUACUCUUGUUAAUCAAUGAGGAAACAGGUUUAAUGUGAUAACUUAUUGUAGUCUAUUUAUAUUGUUGUGAAAAGUAGGUCUCAAGGCAUGAAAUAGAGCGACAUGUUUAUCUCGAGUGUUUGAACUGUGUUGGUCAGGUUCCUGCAUUCUAGUGUUUAUUAGUGUUCUGCUUCUGGGCCUUUUAGAGUAAAGUGGGCCCUUUUUUCUUUGGCAAUAGGCUGACAUCUAUUAAAAAUUAUCUGCAUGGUUAAACAUUAAAAUGCGGGCCCUUAUGAGAAGUUUUAUUGUAAUUGUGCAUUCAUUGGAAAGCUUUAGUUUGUGUUAUAGAAGAAAAUGGCAGGGAAAACUGCACAUUGCACAGAUUACUUCACCGUUUGCUAUCUAUAUUGGGACAGUAAGUUUUAAAAUAAUGAUAAAGUGGCGGUUAGCCUUUGAAAUCUAGUUGCAAGGCAUCUAUUUCAAAUGAUUAUUUUUUUCAAUAGUUAUGGACAUAAAGAUGUGUCUUGAACUUGUUUAUUUUUCCUGGAAUUGAAAAUUAUGUGCAUUUGAACUGAUUUUCCUCAUUAUGCAGAUUUCGCUGAGUUCUCCUUCCAGGUGAAGACAAAUAGUGAAACAUCUGUAUGGUGAGAAAUUCCUAAGUAAAUCCCCUUGUCUGGUUACAUGGGUUGGAGGUAGAAUGUUUUAAUAAGAGCAACUAUUGGUUUCGGGCUUACAUUUGGAGGAGGUGGUGGAAUAAACAUACGGUGCACUCACCAUUUUACUCGACUUUCAUCUUGCCCUAGCUGUCAGAACUGCUGGUGCUCUCAUUGGUUGGCUGGUGAUAAUUUAUAGUAUCUGUGAUUGGUUGUGCCAGAUAUCUCCAGAGCUCUAGUUGGAAGGGUGUUUAGAUAUGAUUUUGGCAUCAGAAGUUGGACAGUGGGAUUAAAUGGUAGUAUGAUAAAUGGUAGUAUGAUAUGAUAUGGUAUAAAUGGGAGUAUGGAAGAUGUUACGUGUAUGGCUGUAGUGUCUAGAUCAAAGACUUGUAAUGUUCUACGAUGCUGUUGUGUGAUAUCAUACUUUUACAGGGUAUGAGUAAAUUAGAACAGCGACUGAUUUUAGUUUGUGUUGAAGUUGGGUUUGACCCUAACUUCUGGGAAAUAAACUCUGGAAUACAUACUUCCUAUGUUGAAUUUUAAUUUUCAGUGUCCUAUGUUUUGAAGUUAUGUUUUUUGAGUUUUUCUUGUAAUUUAUCAGUAUGUUCUUUUUUUUCCUUGGAGAAAAUUUACUGCAG
This 5205-nucleotide unclassified non-coding RNA is filed under the name Hevea brasiliensis (rubber tree). Lineage: Eukaryota; Viridiplantae; Streptophyta; Magnoliopsida; Malpighiales; Euphorbiaceae. The record is from RNAcentral.